This 1306-nucleotide long non-coding RNA is filed under the name Homo sapiens (human). RNAcentral's name for it is "HSALNT0174738". The record is from RNAcentral. Lineage: Eukaryota; Metazoa; Chordata; Mammalia; Primates; Hominidae.
AGAGGCCAAGGAGGCCAUUACCUCCAAGACAGCUAUGUGGUCACGAGGAGAGUCAGGACAUGUGGGUCUAAGUCCCUGAUGUCCCACAAGACCUUGACAAAGUUGCUGAACCCUCUGGGGCCUCAACUCCUUCAUCCGCAAACUGGGCGAACAGUAGCUACUCCCAAGCUUGCUGCACAGAUGAAAUGAGACCAGGCCCACUUAGCCUCUUUGUGAACCACAGGGACUCCCACAACAUGUGAGGCCCACCCACGCCUCAGACACUGGGCUCUGAGAAAAGGGGGUGGCAACAAUUGAGCUCCAGAAGCAGCCAGACUGCUGCCAGGCCAGGAGCCCAGGGCAGCCAGGAAGGAGGCCACUGCUGGGCCCAGGAGGCAGCAGGCGGAGGGUUCUCCAGGAUGGAAGGGUCCAGGAAGAAAUGAGAGCCACAGAGGCAGGUCUCAGCCCUGGCCCAUCAGAGGAUCCAUGCAGGAAGCCACUUCAGCCUGCUGCCCACUGCUCACCUCCUGCACAGACCCCAUGCCAUCAGAGACCAGGUACCCAGGGCCUGGGCAAUGGCCCAACCUCAGCUCAAACUUCAGCCCUCCCUUCUGACAGCUUUCCCUGAACACGGCUCUGGACUGUACCCCAAACUGUACCCAGCACCCAUUUGACAGCCCACCAGUCCACGUUCCUGCAGCUCUAGUAGGGCAGGCAGUGUGGACAAGAGAGUUCUGCCAUGGCCAGCCCAUGACCCCAGGUGUGACCCCACCAACCAGGCCAGCCUGGAAAGGCCAUGCUGCUCACACCCGAGGGCUGCCUGCCCAUCAGCCAGGACCGACUCAGGGGACAAAGAGAGGCCUGUGCAUCAGCAACCUACUCCACAAGACACAAUCGAGGAACAGCCUUCUGGGAGGUUGGCGGUGGAAAGGAAGCAUACACCUGGAUGGCCUCUUUGGUCCUCUAAGGCGGCGAAAUGACUUGCUCUCCUCUGCCCCAUAUCCAUGAGCAAGCCAGGCGCAUCCUACCUUCAAUCCCAAGACCCAGGCAAGAGCUGCUCAAGAAAUUUGAGGUGAAGUGACUUCUUUACUUUUUAAGUUUUCCAAUCUGAUGCCAACAGAUAUUUUUGUGAAAUAAAAUUAAAAAUGAUGUGGCAAUGUCAAGUUGCCAAACAAGUUUCUCAAGGCUUUCUCUCAAAGUCUGCAUGUCUCUCACCAUACACCCAUCCAGCACAGCUCAGGAUGGGCAGAGGUCUGCGGACCACGGUCUCCAUUGCCUGGCAGAGCCACUGUGCUCCCAGUGUUCCAAGAGGAACCUGGUGCAGGGC